AAGGCAGUGCUGGUGGUUUUCCUUGACUUUAUCCUGCCUGUUUGACAUAGGAGACCCUGGAAAGAUUACUGCAAAGUCAAAUGAAGUCUUUGGCCAGACAAAUAUGCUCAACCCUCUGGAACAACAGAAAAUAAAUGUGCACCAUCAGCGAUGUGAUAAGUGACACAGCAGGGCACAAGAAGGUCAUGGACUGGGAACAGAAAACAAGUGCGGACAAGGCACAGAGUUAUAGAAAGUUGAUUCUAAAAGUGUUUAAGAUCAGUGAGGAAGGAACAUCAGCAGAGGAAAAGGCGCUCAAAUCUUCAGCACGAUUCAAGCUGAUUUAAGGAGCCGUAUCCAGCUGAUUCGAUUUUUUUUCUUUUCUGAUCACAAACGUCUAUUUGGACAUCCCAAAGAUGUUUGCAAUUCUGCCUGAAAAAGCUGUCCUUCUUCUCCCUGCGCCCCCCCCUCCCUCCCAAUCACCUUAUCAGCGUGCCGAUGAAAUGUUGACCUCAUGCAUAUUCAUUCCGCCAGGCAAUUUUAGUUAACCAAAUAUCAGAGAGUUUAUUCGCACCGCAAUCUCACCGUUCCGGGGGCCGCAUCUGCUUCACGAGACAGUUGUGAGAACGCCAUGAAUGAAAGUGUACAAAAUUGGACUAACCUUGCCUGCCCUGUAACUCUCCAUAAGAAGAUUUUCCUGCCCGUCUUCAAAGCA
Pantherophis guttatus is the source of this 694-nucleotide long non-coding RNA. RefSeq lists it as uncharacterized. NCBI's taxonomy places the organism in Eukaryota, Metazoa, Chordata, Lepidosauria, Squamata, Colubridae. The record is from RefSeq and is a predicted model, not a curated record.